GACGAGGGGUGCUAGCGUUGCUCGGAAUUACUGGGCGUAAAGCGUAUGUAGGUGGCCUUGCAAGUCAGAUGUGAAAGCCCUGGGCUUAACCCAGGAAGUGCAUUUGAAACUGCAGGGCUUGAGUGUCGGAGAGGGUAGUGGAAUUCCUGGUGUAGAGGUGAAAUUCGUAGAUAUCAGGAGGAACAUCGGAGGCGAAGGCGGCUACCUGGCCGAACACUGACACUGAGAUACGAAAGCGUGGGGAGCACACAGG
This 253-nucleotide ribosomal RNA is filed under the name uncultured bacterium. RNAcentral describes it as "partial 16S ribosomal RNA". It matches the Rfam family "Bacterial small subunit ribosomal RNA", at positions 524 to 776 of the family's 1533-position model. The record is from RNAcentral.